GCGGCGGUAGCUCAGCCUGGUUGGAGCGCCCGGCUCAUAACCGGGAGGACCCGGGUUCAAAUCCCGGCCGCCGCA
This 75-nucleotide transfer RNA is filed under the name Pyrobaculum calidifontis JCM 11548. RNAcentral's name for it is "tRNA-Met (CAT) (tRNA-Met-CAT-2-1)". It matches the Rfam family "tRNA". Rfam says of the family: Transfer RNA (tRNA) molecules are approximately 80 nucleotides in length. Their secondary structure includes four short double-helical elements and three loops (D, anti-codon, and T loops). RNAcentral also lists the same sequence under 1 other name. Lineage: Archaea; Thermoproteati; Thermoproteota; Thermoprotei; Thermoproteales; Thermoproteaceae. The record is from RNAcentral.